CAGCAGCCACGGUAAUACGGAGGGUGCAAGCGUUAUCCGGAUUUAUUGGGUUUAAAGGGUCCGUAGGCGGAUCUGUAAGUCAGUGGUGAAAUCUCACAGCUUAACUGUGAAACUGCCAUUGAUACUGCAGGUCUUGAGUAAAUUUGAAGUGGCUGGAAUAAGUAGUGUAGCGGUGAAAUGCAUAGAUAUUACUUAGAACACCAAUUGCGAAGGCAGGUCACUAAGAUUUAACUGACGCUGAUGGACGAAAGCGUGGGGAGCGAACAGGAUUAGAUACCCCCGUAGUCCCUGUCUCUUAUAC
Molecule: ribosomal RNA, 301 nt
Filed under: uncultured bacterium
Lineage: Bacteria
Description: partial 16S ribosomal RNA
Rfam family: Bacterial small subunit ribosomal RNA
Source: RNAcentral